CCUACGGGUGGCAGCAGUGGGGGAUAUUGUACAAUGGGGGGAACCCUGAUGCAGCGACGCCGCGUGGGGGAAGAAGCUCCUCUGCGCGUUAAGCCCUGUCAGCAGGGGAGAAAAGGACGGUACCUGUAGAAGAAGCCCCGGCGAAAUACGUGCCGCCAGCGGCGGUAAUACGGAGGGGGCAAGCGUUAUCCGGAUUUUCUGGGUGUAAAGGGGGCGCAGUCGGCUAUGCAAGCCAGGAGUGAAAGCCCGAGGCCCAACCCCGGGACUGCUCUUGGAACUGCGUGGCUGGAGUGCAGGAGGGGCAGGCGGAAUGCCUGGUGUAGCGGUGAAAUGCUUAGAUAUCAGGAGGAACACCGGUUGCGAAGGCGGCCUGCUGGACUGCAACUGACGUUGAGGCACGAAAGCGUGGGGAGCGAACAGGAUUAGAUACCCGUGUAGUC
This 440-nucleotide ribosomal RNA is filed under the name uncultured bacterium. Its description in RNAcentral is "partial 16S ribosomal RNA". It matches the Rfam family "Bacterial small subunit ribosomal RNA", at positions 338 to 795 of the family's 1533-position model. The record is from RNAcentral.